UGGGUUGGAUCUCUAGCAGCCACUAUCAGGUGGCUCCUGUGUAUUCCAACAGCUCUCAGUAGCACAACUAUCCAAAACUGAGGGCUUUAGAAAUCAUUCAUUUCACCCCUUCCUAUAUUCUAUUUUAUAAGAGACCAUAUUCAAGACCUGAUACUGGAUUAUUUUUGAGAUGAUUUCUUUUAUGUCUUCAUGUCCCAUUAGAAGUUAGAGAGCUUCUGCUAAUAACCUUGGAAACCUGGCACAGGAAACACUACUGACCAUUAGUCAGUUUCCCAGAGAGGUGCUAUGCUGCAGAGCAUGUUAAAGGGUACAGAUUUCCAUAUAGGGAUCCACCUAGCUCCCUCCUCACUCCUCAAACUACCUACCUACAAAGAGCAAUGAAAAGCUAUUCAGCAAGAACAUAAAUUCAUGUAGGAGAGUGUGUGGACAUGCUUGGUAAGAAACGACCAAAGUAUUCCUUCUGAAAAAUAUGUGAUGCUAAUGAGAAAGAGAAAAACAAAAGAAACAAUGUUGAGUGUAGUGCCUGCAGAGUGAUACUCGUUCUUCUGUGGACCUGAUGACACUCCCAAGUAGGGGCUCUUCUUAACUGUCUUAUGUGCGCAUAAAUAAAACUUUUUUCCACAUCCAAAUUCACGGACCUUCUGAAAAAUCUGUUUAUAGAUCUUAGGUUAAAAAGCCCUGAUUUAAAGCAGUAUUUCAAAUCUCUGGCAGUUUCAAAUUCAGCAAAAACGACAUGUCAGUUUCAAACAGAGAAUGAUGCCAAAACACAAUCACAUCAGUGAAUGAAAUCUCUGGAAUUUCAACAUUACCCUUGAAAUAGCUGAUAACCUUUGUUAAAGCACGAGAAACUCAAUUUAAUUCAACAAAAUAACUGAGCACUUCUAUAUGUAGUUAAAAAUUAGAAAGUUCAACAUUAACAAAUGUUGGGCCUUUAAAAUGCCUUAAUGUGUGAGAAAGAAAGCAGAUGUGUCAAAACACAUGGCCAGUCCUGGAACACACUGUCUACAACACUCCCAAGUG
Molecule: long non-coding RNA, 1020 nt
Organism: Sarcophilus harrisii (Tasmanian devil)
Lineage: Eukaryota; Metazoa; Chordata; Mammalia; Dasyuromorphia; Dasyuridae
Exons: 3
Source: RefSeq, a predicted model, not a curated record